Elaeis guineensis (African oil palm) is the source of this 652-nucleotide long non-coding RNA. RefSeq lists it as uncharacterized. The record is from RefSeq and is a predicted model, not a curated record. NCBI's taxonomy places the organism in Eukaryota, Viridiplantae, Streptophyta, Magnoliopsida, Arecales, Arecaceae.
UGCAUGAAAAAUUAGAUGAAGAUUUGAUUUACCGUGAGAAAGAAAAAUAGUGGGACGUUCUCUUUUGUGCGUGGGUAUCCGAGAGAAAAAUAAAAAGGGAGGCACUAACCCUUGGCAUUCCAUGUCUUUGGUUUUCAUCCUCUUAGGUGUUGGGUUCAAGGAGAGAGACAAAAGAAAAGAGAAAGCAUUCUCCAGACUUUAAUCUUUCCUUCAUCUUUCUCCUGUUCCUCUUUAGAGAUCUAAAGAAGCAAGCAGAAUCAACCAUCAAGAAGCAACUUUUGCAAGAGAACUAGCACUCUGGUGAAGUCAGGAGCCUCUGAUCGGAUCGAAGACUUUAUAUGGAUAUUCGUAGAGAUUAGAUGCAUGUGUGGCUUGUCGAGGACCUCAUCAGAUUACUAUGAUCGAUUAUCAGAUUGCGGUGAAAGGCUAUCCAUGCAAAGGUCGACAAGUGCUGGAUGAAAAGAGGAGUAGGAUGAUCGAUGAAAUAAUUGAGAUGCUGUUCUGUUUCAAAGAUUGAUUUGAUGCCAAGGCAAAACUUUAAGAUAAAGGUAGAUAUAAUAUAACAUUUGAUGAUGAUGAUGAUAUAAAUACUACUAACGAUUAGUAAGAUUUUUAAUUAUUAAUUUUUCAUAUUUAUAACUUUUUAGAUUUA